AGAAUGAACGCUGGCGGCAUGCCUAACACAUGCAAGUCGAACGAAACCUUCGGGUUUAGUGGCGCACGGGUGCGUAACGCGUGGGAAUCUGCCCCUUGGUUCGGAAUAACAGUUGGAAACGACUGCUAAUACCGGAUGACGACGUAAGUCCAAAGAUUUAUCGCCGAGGGAUGAGCCCGCGUAGGAUUAGGUAGUUGGUGUGGUAAAGGCGCACCAAGCCGACGAUCCUUAGCUGGUCUGAGAGGAUGAUCAGCCACACUGGGACUGAGACACGGCCCAGACUCCUACGGGAGGCAGCAGUGGGGAAUAUUGGACAAUGGGCGAAAGCCUGAUCCAGCAAUGCCGCGUGUGUGAAGAAGGCCUUCGGGUUGUAAAGCACUUUUAUCAGGAACGAAAUACUACUGGUUAAUAACCGGUGGGGCUGACGGUACUGAGGAAUAAGCACCGGCUAACUUCGCGCCAGCAGCCGC
Molecule: ribosomal RNA, 470 nt
Filed under: uncultured bacterium
Lineage: Bacteria
Description: SSU rRNA
Rfam family: Bacterial small subunit ribosomal RNA
Source: RNAcentral